RNAcentral lists this transfer RNA (85 nucleotides) under Corynebacterium marambiense. RNAcentral's name for it is "Corynebacterium sp. CCM 8864 tRNA-Leu". It matches the Rfam family "tRNA". Rfam says of the family: Transfer RNA (tRNA) molecules are approximately 80 nucleotides in length. Their secondary structure includes four short double-helical elements and three loops (D, anti-codon, and T loops). Lineage: Bacteria; Bacillati; Actinomycetota; Actinomycetes; Mycobacteriales; Corynebacteriaceae. The record is from RNAcentral.
GCGCCCGUGGCGGAAGUGGCAGACGCGCUGGAUUUAGGUUCCAGUGUCUUAUGACGUGGGAGUUCAAGUCUCCCCGGGCGCACCA